UAUGGCAUUAUCAGUAAAGAAGUUAUGAGUAAAGACGUUAUCGUUAGAACUGCUUCCUUUGCCGAACCUAAUAUUAGUGCCUCAUUCAGUGAGUCCCGCGUUUUUCUGUAAUAUCGCCUACGGGCAAAAUAAACAUUUUAAGGAAUUUGCAAAAUGGCAAAGAUUAAAGGUCAGGUUAAGUGGUUCAACGAGUCUAAAGGUUUUGGUUUCAUUACUCCUGCUGACGGCAGCAAAGAUGUGUUCGUACACUUCUCUGCAAUCCAGGGUAACGGCUUCAAAACUCUGGCUGAAGGCCAGAACGUUGAGUUCGAAAUCCAGGACGGCCAGAAAGGUCCUGCUGCAGUAAACGUUACUGCUAUCUGAUAAGCGACAAUCUUUCAGGGGUAACCUCCUGACAGGAUAAAUUGCGAAACCCUGCUCUUUGAGCGGGGUUUUUUCU
This 439-nucleotide small RNA is filed under the name Tatumella ptyseos ATCC 33301. RNAcentral describes it as "cspA thermoregulator". It matches the Rfam family "cspA thermoregulator". The record is from Rfam by way of RNAcentral. Lineage: Bacteria; Pseudomonadati; Pseudomonadota; Gammaproteobacteria; Enterobacterales; Erwiniaceae.